This 455-nucleotide long non-coding RNA is filed under the name Olea europaea (common olive). Its description in RNAcentral is "long non-coding RNA (OEUR_LNC003557)". Lineage: Eukaryota; Viridiplantae; Streptophyta; Magnoliopsida; Lamiales; Oleaceae. The record is from RNAcentral.
GGACUUGGAUUUAUAUUGCAUCCAAGCUGCCUACGUACCCAAACGGGAUCAAGUCGAACGUAGUUCAUUACAAAAGAGAACGGAAAACAUACAUGGGCACGCAGGCCCGCUAAACUAGAAAUAAAAUGCAGAAAAAGAAAAUCUCCUCAAAGGCGUCGGGAAUUUUACUUGUAAUAUAUUUUCAGAUUGUCGGCAUUCCAGGGCCUCGGAAGAGGUCUUCCCGAAGUGUCUCUUAGGCUGUAUGCUCCCUUGCGAACCUGCCGUAUGACCUCAAAGGGCCCUUCCCAGACGGGCCCGAGCUUCCCUGGGGGGUGGCCUGCUGCUUCGGCCCUCCUCAAGACCAAAUCGCCAGCUCUGAACCUCCGAGCCUUGACUUUGCGAUUAAAAUGUUUUGCUGUCUUUGCUUGGUAAGAGGCCACUUUUAUAGCGGCUUGCUCCCGUACUUCUUCCAAGAG